Molecule: non-coding RNA, 59 nt
Filed under: Rhizobium sp.
Lineage: Bacteria; Pseudomonadati; Pseudomonadota; Alphaproteobacteria; Hyphomicrobiales; Rhizobiaceae
Also listed under: 1 other name
Description: Xanthine-I sequence
Rfam family: Xanthine riboswitch aptamer (NMT1 RNA)
About the family: Later it was reported as a ncRNA that recognised Xanthine.
Source: RNAcentral
UUCAGGAGUAGAAGCAGUCACGCGUCACCGCCAGGUGCCGCCGGGUCAUUGCUCCCAAG